CGGAGGGGGCAAGCGUUGUUCGGAAUUAUUGGGCGUAAAGGGCAUGUAGGCGGUUUGGUAAGUUAAAGGUGAAAUACCAGGGCUUAACCCUGGGGCUGCUUUUAAUACUGCAGGACUAGAGUCCGGAAGAGGAUAGCGGAAUUCCUAGUGUAGAGGUGAAAUUCGUAGAUAUUA
This 174-nucleotide ribosomal RNA is filed under the name uncultured Anaplasma sp. RNAcentral's name for it is "partial 16S ribosomal RNA". It matches the Rfam family "Bacterial small subunit ribosomal RNA", at positions 526 to 699 of the family's 1533-position model. The record is from RNAcentral. Lineage: Bacteria; Pseudomonadati; Pseudomonadota; Alphaproteobacteria; Rickettsiales; Anaplasmataceae.